ACGAACGCUGGCGGCAUGCCUAAUACAUGCAAGUCGAACGAGAUCUUCGGAUCUAGUGGCGCACGGGUGCGUGACGCGUGGGAAUCUACCCCUGGGUUCGGAAUAACUUCGGGAAACUGAAGCUAAUACCGGAUGAUGUCGAAAGACCAAAGAUUUAUCGCCCAGGGAUGAGCCCGCGUAGGAUUAGCUAGUUGGUGGGGUAAAGGCUCACCAAGGAAACGAUCCUUAGCUGGUCUGAGAGGAUGAUCAGCCACACUGGGACUGAGACACGGCCCAGACUCCUACGGGAGGCAGCAGUAGGGAAUAUUGGGCAAUGGGGGCAACCCUGAUCCAGCCAUGCCGCGUGAGUGAUGAAGGCCUUAGGGUUGUAAAGCUCUUUUACCCGAGAUGAUAAUGACAGUAUCGGGAGAAGAAGCUCCGGCUAACUCCGU
Molecule: ribosomal RNA, 431 nt
Filed under: uncultured bacterium
Lineage: Bacteria
Description: bacterial SSU rRNA
Rfam family: Bacterial small subunit ribosomal RNA
Source: RNAcentral